Long non-coding RNA from Oncorhynchus tshawytscha (Chinook salmon), 962 nucleotides. NCBI's taxonomy places the organism in Eukaryota, Metazoa, Chordata, Actinopteri, Salmoniformes, Salmonidae. The record is from Ensembl.
CUUGUAUGUACCUGGUCCUGACCUGACCUGUAUGUACCUGGUCCUAACCUGACCUGUAUGUACCUGGUCCUGACCUGUAUGUACCUGGUCCUGACCUGUAUAUACCUGGUCCUGACCUGUAUGUACCUGGUCCUGACUUGUAUGUACCUGGUCCUGACCUGUAUGUACCUGGUCCUGACCUGUAUGUACCUGGUCCUAACUUGACCUGUAUGUACCUGGUCCUGACCUGUAUGUACCUGGUCCUGACCUAUAUGUACCUGGUCCUGACCUGUAUGUACCUGGUCCUGACCUGUAUGUACCUGGUCCUAACCUGUAUGUACCUGGUCCUGACCUGUAUGUACCUGGUCCUGACCUGUAUGUACCUGGUCCUGACCUGUAUGUACCUGGUCCUGACCUGUAUGUACCUGGUCCUAACCUGUAUGUACCUGGUCCUAACCUGACCUGUAUGUACCUGGUCCUGACCUGUAUGUACCUGGUCCUGGCCUAACCUUGUGUGUGGUUUGCUCUCUCAUGAUUUGGUAAUACAGGACAUUUCCACGACAAAUGACCAGGAAGUGGCUAGUUUAAUGACCAGGUAGUGGCUAGUUUAAUGACCAGGUGGGGGCUAGUUUAAUGACCAGGUGGUGGCUAGUUUAAUGACCAGGUAGUGGCUAGUUUAAUGACCAGGUGGUGGCUAGUUUAAUGACCAAGUAGUGGCUAGUUUAAUGACCAGAUAGUGGCUCGUUUAAUGACCAGGUGGGGGCUAGUUUAAUGACCAGGUAGUGGCUAGUUUAAUGACCAGGUGGGGGCUAGUUUAAUGACCAGGUGGGGGCUAGUUUAAUGACCAGGUAGUGGCUAGUUUAAUGACCAGGUAGUGGCUAGUUUAAUGACCAGGUAGUGGCUAGUUUAAUGACCAGGUAGUGGCUAGUUUAAUGACCAGGUGGGGGCUAGUUUAAUGACCAGGUGGGGGCUAGUUUAAUGAC